CGCCGCCGGCCGGACGUCCUCGAGGCGGACCGAGCCGGAGCGCUCGCGUCGGGACCCGAAAGGUGGUGAUCUAUCCGUGCGCGCGGCGAAGCGGGGAAACCCCGGUGGAGGCCCGUCGACGGUACUGACGUGCAAAUCGUUCGUCCGACGUGCGAAUAGGGGCGAAAGACCGAAUCGAACCUCCUAGUAGCUGGUUUCCGCCGAAAUUUCCCUCAGGAUAGCGGCCAUCGCGGAAACGUUUUGACCGGUAGAGCGAACGACUAGAGGUACCGGGGCCGUAACGGCCUCGACCUAUUCUCGAACUCCGAACGGGCAAGGAGCCGGGGUCGCCCGAUCGGACCCCGGACGUGAAGUCGACGAUGGUCGGUGGGCUGGGUUUUGGUAAGCAGAACGGGCGAUUCGGGAUGAACCGGAAGCGGGGAGAAAGGGCCCGAGAUUGCGUCGACGCGGAUCCCG
This 456-nucleotide ribosomal RNA is filed under the name uncultured eukaryote. RNAcentral describes it as "eukaryotic LSU rRNA". It matches the Rfam family "Eukaryotic large subunit ribosomal RNA", at positions 760 to 1214 of the family's 3401-position model. The record is from RNAcentral.